Molecule: long non-coding RNA, 448 nt
Filed under: Homo sapiens (human)
Lineage: Eukaryota; Metazoa; Chordata; Mammalia; Primates; Hominidae
Description: non-protein coding lnc-ZNF565-1:1
Source: RNAcentral
UGGCCACCUCCUCGGGUGUAACUUUUUCGUGCUGGAAGUAACCUGUGUUUGCAGCAGGCUGGGUUUAAGAGUAUCUUCCUGUCUUCCAUGCAUUCCAUCGAGGUCAGAGCCAGGGCCUUCUAUGGAAUUCUGUUGGAUGCAGAAAGCACUGGAACUUGAAUCUAUGUUUACACUUUUGUGCAGAAAACACCAGAACAGCUUCCAAUUCUGGAAGGGACAUUUUUGGUUCAGUGAAGCCAGGACUUGCUGCUUUGAUCAUUCAACCUAAGCAGCUGGCUGAGACUGUUCAAGGACUCUGAGAGGUGGCCAAAGACUCAAUCCCCUAAAGUGACUGCAACAGACCCCAGUGGUCCUGAAGGCAACUGAAGGCAAUGAUAGACCUGUGCUUACUGUCAGAAUGGAAGAGCCAGACUCUGUUCUUUGAGGUAAGGGAGAGCUUCAAGAAAUC